GCCAAUCAGGAGUCUUCUCUUCCAUCUGUGUUUGACGGGAAUGCUGUGGAAGCCUGUGAUUGGCUAGGCUUCCUUAGCUGGAAUCUCUUUAAAAGAAAAUCAGGAUAACGUUGUUCGUGUGUUCCUGUGUGGUCGUUCAGUGCAGUGCUGAAUUCUCGUUAUUUCUUGUGGAGAUUAUUCAAGGAAACUUAUGUAACAUGAAAGUAACAAAUGAAACUCACAACAUACUUAGUUUCAACAUAGUUUAUGGACGUUUUAGGAAUUGUAAUGGAAUGAUAACCCGACGACUAUAUGAAGAGGCCAACGGACUUUUGAAGAUUUGAUUAGUGCUUGGACUAUUGGAAUAUGCUGUGAUGUCAACAGUUUACAAAAUUUGGAGCUUUUGAAGAAUAGCGAUCCCAUACAACCCUUUUGAAGAAUAGGGGUCCCAGUUUGGGCCUUUUGAAGAAUACAGAUCCACGGACACGGCGGUCGGAGCUCCCGUAGUUCCGCCAUGGCCUUACUGUAACCCCAGUGGCUAGCGCGCGCAGCACAACAUACCUCUUGCCAGAACAUGCCAAGAAUCUUUAAAUAUGCGGAUAAGGCGCAAAGCGCCGUUCCGCCACGGCCUUACUGGCAGCACACACAAAUCGAUCGUCCGCGGAUAUGUAGUCGCUCCCCUAUGAAUAUAACAUUGGUACUGACAAUCAAACAAGCAGUUGUUUGCUUAUCUUUAGGUUUGUUCACCACUGACAACCAAUCAUGUUGUUACUUGUUUUCCUCGGCGGUUGUUCUCCACUAAAUACCUUUUUAACAAUACGGACCCCAGUUUCAUCCUUUUGAAGAAUAAAGGUCCCAGGUUCGUAUGGGACCGCUAUUCUUCAAAAGCUCCCAAAAUUUUUAGUAGGAAAGUGUCUAAACUUUGAAUGGAAAAUUCGCUAAUCGCACUUGUUUCGAUGUAAUACAGUAGUAAGGCCUAAAAUGUAAAUUUUAAUUGUAACAUACGAUUAGGUUGUUAAUGAGCUGCAAUUCUAUGCAGGUGUGAAAGUAAUCUCCAGUCUCGAGUUUGACACUAAGAUGCCAGUUCGUCACGUGGCAGUACGUCAUCACAUUACUGUAGUGCGUCUCGUGGCAGUACGUAGUCUCGUGGCAGUACGUCAAAUAUAGUCGGCCACAUGAUCAGUUACAUGCCCAAUUAAAUCUUCGUCAGCCCUACACACACAAGCCUUGUAAGUUGUCACCAAUUCCAAGCGGUAGAAAAUCUAAGCCCAAAAACAAUGGCCAGAAUUCCCCAAGUUCCUGGAAUAGUCAUUAAACCACUUCAGUAUUGCUGCAUUCAGAACCAAGCCGUCACAUCGAGUACACUAUACCUAAGAGUAAAUGUUCUCAUUUAGUCUUACACCUUAAAAAAUUCUUUAACGUAUAUUUGGUCUAAAACUCUGCAUUCGGUUAAACCCUGAGAAAUAUUUCCAAUUAGUCUUACACCUAACAAAAAUUCUUUAUUGUAUAUUUGGUCAAAAACUUACCAUUCAGGAAAAACCAACGAAAUAGAUUCAGUAAUUUUAAAACCUUCAAUUUUUUUUUUCUUACACUACAAACAAUAACUCUAAACACUAGGUCUAAAACUUAACGUUCAGAAAGAAUGAUUGACAUUCAGUAACUAUUAAAACUCUCAAUUAAACAUCCACUUUACAUAAUUAGGCAAAUUCUAAAGUGAUUUGGUCAAAUUUAGCGGUCAGUACAAGAAACUGCAAUGUCACUUUUCAACUUUCAAUUGAAACUUAACAGCUCAUACAUUAUUAAAGUAAAAAAAAAAGCUUCUUUAACACAAGCUGGUCCCAUUCUAAACUAGUCCCAUCUUAAAAAGUCCCAUUUUCAAAACUAGUAGGACCUUUGGCAUUAAGGUUAAAAUCUUAAAAUGCAGUAAUGUUAAUAUAUCUACACUUAAUCGCACACUGAAUAGUUACUUUUUAUUAAAAGUAUUGAAACCUUUACCCUCAAUUUAUUAAUGACUAAAGUUCUUACCUUUUUUAGAAAAAAAGUAAUACUGUCAUCGCUCCAAUUUAAAAAAGUUCUUUUCCAGAACUGACCAGAGUCGACCUGAAAAAAAAAAAUUUUUACUCAUUAAGGACUGCGAGGCUGACUUAAGUAUUAAAGAUCUAAUAGCCUAGAUUAGAAAAAAUAAAAAAUAAAGUUUACUGGCUAAAAUUAGUUUAAAGCCAUUGGUUAAAAACCAAAAUCACUGGAUAAAACCAAGCACCAUUAAGUUUAAAACAUUUAUAAGUCUAGAUUAAUAAAUAAUCACUGUUUAAAAAUCAUUUCACUGGUUAAAAAUGCAUUUAAGUUUAAUUAUUCAUAUUUAACAAAACAUUUAAGUUAACCAUUGAAGUCUAAAGACCCCUAUGUAGAUUAUUUUAGAUUUAAAGUAUUUAUUAAAACUAAUAAAAAAUGUAAGCAUUAAAUACCUAGUUAUACAGCAUUAAACAAAAUCUAAAUCUUAUUUAAGCUUGAGUAUAGCAUUUAAUAUAAAUAAAAUCAAAACUUUCCUAACAUUAUAUACGGAAAGAAAAUACGUGUCGGAAGUAUAUACUCUGUAUAAUAUCCAUUAACUAUAAACGUAAAAUCAAAGCUUAAUAUGAACCAAUACAAGUCUCGGAAACUAAUUAAAAUCGGUAAAAAUAAACUGCGCUUAUAACUACAGCAAAUUAAAUACGUACCAUAAUAUCGUGCAAAUAUUUUUCACGUAGUUUAACAUUACUUCAAAUCGACUUUAAUACCAUGUUUAAUUUUAUGGGGCAAAAUCUAAAGUAUCCAAGGUUAUCAAGGAGUUUUGAACACCUCACUUUGGUUUUCAAUUAUCAAUCCUUACAUGAAACCAUUGAAGUUAAAAUGAUCAAAAGUAAACCAACGGGAAAACAACCAAGAUACUAUACCUUCACCUGACUUGAUACCCUUGACAUCAAAAACUUCUUAAUUGACAAUUUAGAACUAGCUGCUUUAAUCUGAACGUUACUGUACAUCGGUCAUAAGAAGCUACGUAAAUGGAAUAGAUCUAUCUUACCGUUUCAGCAAAGUUAAAUUUAAAUUUCCGAUAAUAUCAAACAUCCCCACAGAGCAAAACCCCUCGGAAUAAAAACCAAAACCAUCACAAACCUACUUCAAAAUACUACUUAAUUGGCAUAUUUAACAUGCUACCCAUAACAAUAAAUCACUCAAAACCCUAACCAGUCACCUUCCACCUCUAUAGACUGAACACUUAAACACACACGAAACUACAGAGACCGAAAUUAAAAUGUUGGUGCCUCGUUCUCCCCAAAGUACCGAAGGGCCUCAGGCGACUGUGAAGUCUGCAAAAUAGUUACUCGAAACUGGAUUGGACCGGUUUUAAUUUCAGAAUUGUGGACUACAUACACCAUCUCUUCCACCCUAAGAAAAUAGGUGCUCGAUCAAGAAACUGUACUGGCCUUAUUGGAGAUAAGUCUGGUGUGAGUAGUUCGUUCAACGGGUUCUUGUCAAUUUAUAGAUUAUCUAAGGUUACUGAAUUGGCGUCAUAUCUAGGUUAUCGACGCUGUGUCAGUUUAGAAUUUAAUCCUGUGUAUGGCAGCUGUUAAACCCAAAGGCUAUUAUCUAGGACUUGGUGAGAAUUUUUUUGGGGGGAGGGUUAGAUAUUGUUUCUAAUUUUUCUUAAGGAAAACUUUCAUAGUUCAGUGUAAAACAUGUAUGAAUGAAAAGCCUACUUGAUUGUAACCAGGUUCACCAAUUUAAUUGUUCAAAUUAAAUUCUUUUCGUGGAUUUUUAAGUUUCAUUCUAGAAAUAAAGGCAAGUUGGUACUGGGCUUAAGGGUUAAAAAUUGGGUGGGUUAAACAUUUUAAAGUUUAACUUGGGAAAUUUUAAGUGAUAGACCACUCCUCAGUCUUAGAGGGAUGUUUGUACGGUUAUUCAAAUGUUUCGGCAGGUUUUUUAAGACGCAUUAACUAAGUCUCAGGCAAUUUUAUAGUUUUCUUAUAUAGCAUUUAGCGUUUUUGUCCCAAUUUCACGAAUUGUUUUGGUGAUUUUAACAAACAUUUAAAAGUACUUUUGCUUUUUUAAGAAUUCUUCUUUUUUACGAUCUCUGAAUCACUAAAUACUCUUACAUUUUUUUUCGAACUCGCUUUAAUAACUUUGAAUCUAAUUUCAAUGUAGUUUUCAAUAUAAACGACAUUAUUCAGGUAAUGCAGUGUGGUAAUGAGGGGAUUCUUAUUUGCCGUGAUAUGUUUUACCAGUAACACACUUCAUAAUUGUUACUUAGAGCUAAUAAGUCUAGACAAAAGGCUCUUCGUUUUGUGAGUUUCCGUUGUGGAAUUAAAACCUUGUCACUGUAAACUUAAUUUUCGUCACAUGGCAGUACGUCGUCACAUGGCGGCCGUACGUCACAUGACGGCAGUACGUAGUCACAUGGAGAUGAGUGUUUCAAAUAAAUAGUCAGUCACAUGAAGAAGACAGAACAUCACAAGAGUAUUUUUCUCUUGAAAAGUAAGUUUCCUUUUAGGCAUCUUUUCACACGUGGUUUAGAUGCACAUUCGUGCUAUAGGUAAACUUUCCAUUAGGGUAACUUAGAAAUUAGGGUUUCUCCUCUUUUGGAAGGUAGUUUCGUAAUUGAGUCAACUCCGGCCAUUUCUGGUGACUGUAGGGAAUACACACACUGACAGGUGGAGAGAGGCCGACGAAUUUCCAACGAAAAGUUAUUUGAUUUGCCUUUACGCUUUUGAUGUAUGUGCUAAAUAUUUAGCGUAAUUUGUACUCUAGUGAAGGAAAUAUGCGUUAGUAUAAUUGGUUAUUUAUUAGGCGUGACUUUUUAGGGUGUAUCAGCUUUUUCUAACCUUCCAAAAAUGUCUAAUACUAACUAACUUCUUUAAAAUUUGCCACAGGUGAAGCAGUCGUGCAUAUUCAGUUUUAUUGAAUAUAUGCAUAAGUUUUAGUAAAUGACAUAAUUGUUUGCAUAGCUUCUUUAAUAAAGAAAAGAAAAUUGGGUAGAGUGAAUGUAGAAAACCUCACCUUAGUGGAGCUUAUGUCUUCAGUGUUAAAAGCUACCAUAUUGAUGAUUUUCCCUAUGCUACCAUUUUAAAUUAGUAUACAUUUAUUAAUGCAAGUCUUAAAAUGAAUGGUAGGUGUAAAGGACAGGUAAGAACUGAGGAAUUGGUGAAUAUUGAAGUGCUGGCUAUAAUAUAGGGACUUUAUUACUAAACAGAAAGUGACUUCACUUAUCAGAAGGGUUACUUGAUCAGAGAGGGACUUUGUGUACUUGAUCAGAGAGAGUUUUUGUGUACUCUAUUAGUCCCAUGGUUUCCAAUACUCUUGGUCCCAUUGUUUCUGUUAACUAUUAGUCCAAUUGUUUCUAUUAACUAUUAGUCCAAUUGUUUCUAAUACUCUAUUAAUAUUAAUCAAUAUGGUAAUUUCCCGCCUCAUUAGAAAAACCUUUUAUGUUAACGAAUAUUCAUGGAGGUUUUUAACAUGCAAUUAAGGACAAAAGGACCAACUAGUCUUUAUGAGAAUUAAUGCAUUGAAGAUGUUAAUAGAUUCCCAUAAAGAUUACUUUGUCAUUUUCUAUCCAAAAAUGAGCAAAUGAAGUAGAAUGCUUUACAUUUCUUUCGUUUCAAAGCCUCAAAAGUUGGGAUUCGUAGCACGCAGUGAAUCCUUUAAAAUCUAGACUAAGUUAGAAUUUUCUCCUUUUGGAGAUACUAAAUUCAUUAAGAAUAGUUUUUCACAAGUGUCCUAUAUUCAGUAAGAAAAGUUACUGGUUCACAAAUGUCCUCAUGGAGGACUUCCUAGGGAGAGGUUUUCUUAGAGACAAAUCACUAAUUUCUUUCUUAAACAUAAGACAUUUUUCAUUAACACAGGCAAUUCACCUCCCUUAGUCUUCAUUGGGAAAAACAAAAUCAAUUUGCACCGAACUCAGUAUAAGCAUUGUCACACUUAAGUUUGAGUUAGUAUAUACCUUAAUAUAGCUUUGCAAAAGUUCAAUCAUUUACUUUGUACACAGGUAUGUGUACGAAGACCAACUAGACUUGUGAUAAACUAGUGAUUAAACAAAUAUCAGGAGAGUGCAGAUUAAAACCAUUUUUGGAUAGCUAAAAACAUUCUCUUGUGCUGUGCAUCUGGAACCGUUAAAAUGGAUCAUAUACAGUAUUUAAAAGCAUUUCACAUGGAAUGAUAAAGAUACAACUAACAUGUCAUAUAUAAUUGUUAAUGACCAAGAAUCAAAGAUGUUCAGAUAACUUGGAAAGAGUUCGUUAAGACAAAUGGUUUUUCCAAUCAAGCGGGAAAUUACAAAUAUUAAUAUUAUUAGACACAAUGGGACUAAUACUUAAUAGAAAAAAUGGGACUAAGAGUAUUGGAGAGUAUUGGAAACCAUUUGAAUGAUAAGAGUACGCAGAAUCCCCCUCUGGUCGAGUACGCCGAGUCCCAGUUAAUUAACCCUUCUGAUAAGUAAUAGCCCCCAUAUUAUAUAGCCUGCACUUUAAUAUUCACAAAUUCCUCAAUUCUUACUAUGAACAACCUGUCCUUUACACCUAACAUCUCAUUUUAAGACUUGCAUCAAUAAAUGUAAAAUUUAAAAUGGUAGCAUAGGGAAAAUCAUCAAUAUGGUAGCUUUUAACACUGAAGAAACAAGCUCACCUAAGGUGAGGUUUGCUACAUUCACUCUACCCAAUUUUUUUUUAUUAAAGAAGCUAUGCAAACAAUUGAGUCAUAUUUACUAAAACCUAUGCAUAUAUGUAAUAAAACCGAACAUGCUAUUUUAUUUGACGACUGCUUAUCCUGUGGCAAAUUUUAAGGAAGUUAGUGCUGCAUAUAUAGUGAAGAAAAUAUAGAAACUAUCAUAAUCUCCAUGCGUCGAAUCAUGUGACGUACUGUCAUGUGACGUACUGUUGUGUGACACUGUCAUGUGACGAAAAUUAAGUGUACAAUAACAAGGUUUUAAUUUCACAACUUUUUGAAAUUCAUUUUCUUCUGUAAAUAUAGAAAAUUGUAACUAUAAAAUUCAAAAUUGCUAGCCUUAUCUGUACAAUGAUACUAGUGGUUUUAGAAUCUGUCAUUUCAUUGUAAUUUCAUUAUAAAGUAAUAAAUUUUGUAAAGUAACAAAGAUUAAUCAAGGAGGAAGAGGAAAGUAUUCAAGGGCCUAGUAACUUCUGCUUUAUCUAGAAGCAAAAGCAAGUCUUA
Molecule: long non-coding RNA, 7176 nt
Organism: Macrobrachium nipponense
Lineage: Eukaryota; Metazoa; Arthropoda; Malacostraca; Decapoda; Palaemonidae
Exons: 3
Source: RefSeq, a predicted model, not a curated record